UGGAGCAGGGGCUUCCAACCAACCCAGGAGCUCUCUCCCACUUUAAUGUUUAGACUGGAGGAAGCCGCGCUUGAAAAUCAGGACUGGAGCUGAGGGUGGAGCAACACGGUGGCAUAACGUGGCAUCCCAAGGACUUGAGUGAUAACCAGGACAUUUUGUAACCACAUCUUAUCCAAGGCGGCUCCAUUCAUUCUGUGUGACUGCGGCUGCUGCAGGGGAAGCCAGGGGCUGCUGAGGAGCAGGAGGAGGAGGAGGAUGCUGGAGCUGUGUGUGCAUGGGAGAGCGUGGGCCCGGCGCUCCUCUCAGCGGGCCAACAAAAGCCUGGCUCAUAAACACAAUUUAAGCUGAUUUUGAUUCGUCAGCGUGGAUGCAGCAUCACUUGAAACCACACAAAUUAAAGUUCAUUUCGUG
Oreochromis aureus is the source of this 411-nucleotide long non-coding RNA. RefSeq lists it as uncharacterized. The record is from RefSeq and is a predicted model, not a curated record. NCBI's taxonomy places the organism in Eukaryota, Metazoa, Chordata, Actinopteri, Cichliformes, Cichlidae. The transcript is spliced from 4 exons.